Neoarius graeffei (lesser salmon catfish) is the source of this 1328-nucleotide RNA transcript. RefSeq lists it as uncharacterized. The record is from RefSeq and is a predicted model, not a curated record. NCBI's taxonomy places the organism in Eukaryota, Metazoa, Chordata, Actinopteri, Siluriformes, Ariidae. The transcript has 6 exons.
UUGGAGUUUCGACGAGGACCAUUGCAGUUGAUGUUUUGUUUGUGCAGAAAGCAAGACCUUUAUUCAACUGUGGACGAUGCUGAGUUGGACCGCAUGGUUAUUGAAAUCCACAGAAGACACCCAAACACCGGGUACAAGCUCAUGCGUGGUCAUCUAAAUGCAAGAGGCUCAAGAGUACUAGAAUCUCUACGCAGAGUCAAUGCAGAAGGAGUUCACAUGAGACGUUUAAGGCUGCGUGUGUCAAGGCGAAGGCAGUAUUCUGUACCUGGCCCGAAUUCCUUGUGGCAUAUAGAUGGGAAUCAUAAGCUCAUCAGGUGGAGAUUUGUUAUCCAUGGAGGGGUGGACGGAUUCGGUCGUCUUGUGGUCUACCUCACUGUGGCUGGCAAUAAUAGAGCCAGUACGGUCUUACGGAGCUUCAUGACUGCUGUUGAGCAGUAUGGACUGCCGUCAAGGGUACGGUCUGAUAAAGGGGGAGAGAAUGCAGAUGUCGCAGAAUUUAUGAUCAGAAGUAGAGGUGCCGACAGGAAUUCACACAUCACUGGAAGAAGUGUCCACAAUCAGCGAAGACCACAGGAGAUGGUUCCAGUAAUCCAUGUCCUCAGUCUGUUGGUCUUCAGCAAACUGUGAAAGUUAUCAUUUCUUCAGUGCUGCCCCAUGAAACAUUAUAGAUCAUCAGCAGAAAUGAUUGAGAGGAUGUGGAGGGAUGUUUAUGAACACACACUGGACCUCUUCUACCAGAUCUUUACUUCACUGGAAGGUCAGGGAAUACUGAAUCCGGAUAGCGAGGUCCAUCUUUUUGCACUGCACCACACCUUCCUUCCUGUCAUUCAGCACAGCCUCAACAGUUUCAGAGAUGCCUGGAACUUCCAUGGUCUCAGAACCGAAAGGAAUCAGUCACCUCAGCAACUCUGGAUACGAUACAGAGAGCAAGGCCCUAUGGAGGAUCCUACACAGGUUUAUGAUGACUAUGGAAUCGACUGGAAUGGACCACACCGUCUGGAUGGAGGCAUGGUGUCAGUCCCUGAGGUUCAGUUGGCACGUGAGCUCACAGAGGAAGAACUUGCCAUUUUGCCACAUGUAGGAUUAUCUGCAUCUGAUGCAAUACAAUGUUAUGUUGAAACCGUUGAAGUUGUGUCAAGAAUGAUGACAUAAUGUUAAAGAAAAUAUAGUUAAAUGCUUUGCAUUAUGUUCAGUCAUUAUCAGGACACAUAUCUGUGUCCUGUUUGUGAGGCCAGGUGCGCAUGAGAGGAGAAAACAUUCUGUCUGGGAUCAUGUCUGUGGCCUUGACUGUCUGUGACUCCUUACAUAUGUCACACUGUAUCUUAUUA